GAAGAAUUGGGCAGUGGCUUUUCUGUCCCCCCAGUCUUGUGAACGUGCUUUGUCACAGAAUCUGGGGGCGCCUUGACCUUAGACCUUCCAGCCCUCAGAACUGUGAACAAUACGUUUUAAUUAUAAAUCAAUAGUUGUGGCGGUUUGAAAGAGAACAACUCCUGAAGGCUCUUGGAUUUGAAUGCUUGGUCACCAGGAAGUGGCACUACUUGAAAGGAUUAGGAGGUGUGGCCUUGUUGCAGGAAGUGUCACUGGGUGUGGGCUUUGACAUUUCAAAAGGGCAGGCCAGGCCCAGUGCCUUUUUCUUUCUGCUGCCUGAGUGAGGGCACAGAUGUAGAACACCCAGCUCCUUCUCUAUCGCCAUGUCUGCUUCCUGUCACCACGUCCCCACGAUGCUGAUAAUGGACUGAUCCUCUGAAACCAGGGAAGAUGCUAUCUGUAACCUGGAGUGAGGAAGCGGGUUCAGACAUGGGAGCGCCCUGCCCUGAGCAACACAGGAAAAGACACUAAAGGUUCUGGCUCGGGGUGUCAUGCUCUUGCCACAAGAGCACACGGCCAGCAAUAGAAAAACAGUUAAAAGAGACCUCUGAAGUGCAGCUGCUUGCCAACUUUUGGCUGAACUUGAGAUCUGGUCUGGCCUGCCCUUUGUGGUGCUCUGUGAGGGGAGCCAAGCCCACAAACAUCCCAGAGCAAAGCAGUGGACAUCUUUCUACUUGUGUUCAGCAGCAGGCCUGGGUGACGUCAGAUGUUGGGAUAGUGACACCUGCUGCUUCCUAGUCCCAUCUGCAUGGCAUGCUUUUCCCCAUCCUUUCACUUUAAGUGGCUCCUGUCUUUGAAGGUGAGAAAGUUCCUAGCAGACAAUA
Mesocricetus auratus (golden hamster) is the source of this 863-nucleotide long non-coding RNA. RefSeq lists it as uncharacterized. NCBI's taxonomy places the organism in Eukaryota, Metazoa, Chordata, Mammalia, Rodentia, Cricetidae. The record is from RefSeq and is a predicted model, not a curated record. The transcript is spliced from 3 exons.